Molecule: ribosomal RNA, 500 nt
Filed under: Lactobacillus gasseri
Lineage: Bacteria; Bacillati; Bacillota; Bacilli; Lactobacillales; Lactobacillaceae
Description: bacterial SSU rRNA
Rfam family: Bacterial small subunit ribosomal RNA
Source: RNAcentral
GACGAACGCUGGCGGCGUGCCUAAUACAUGCAAGUCGAGCGAGCUUGCCUAGAUGAAUUUGGUGCUUGCACCAAAUGAAACUAGAUACAAGCGAGCGGCGGACGGGUGAGUAACACGUGGGUAACCUGCCCAAGAGACUGGGAUAACACCUGGAAACAGAUGCUAAUACCGGAUAACAACACUAGACGCAUGUCUAGAGUUUAAAAGAUGGUUCUGCUAUCACUCUUGGAUGGACCUGCGGUGCAUUAGCUAGUUGGUAAGGUAACGGCUUACCAAGGCAAUGAUGCAUAGCCGAGUUGAGAGACUGAUCGGCCACAUUGGGACUGAGACACGGCCCAAACUCCUACGGGAGGCAGCAGUAGGGAAUCUUCCACAAUGGACGCAAGUCUGAUGGAGCAACGCCGCGUGAGUGAAGAAGGGUUUCGGCUCGUAAAGCUCUGUUGGUAGUGAAGAAAGAUAGAGGUAGUAACUGGCCUUUAUUUGACGGUAAUUACUAGAAA